GGCUCUGUGGCGCAAUGGAUAGCGCAUUGGACUUCUAAUUCAAAGGUUGUGGGUUCGAGUCCCACCAGAGGCG
Molecule: non-coding RNA, 73 nt
Organism: Esox lucius (northern pike)
Lineage: Eukaryota; Metazoa; Chordata; Actinopteri; Esociformes; Esocidae
Source: the annotation of a RefSeq genome assembly